RNAcentral lists this ribosomal RNA (365 nucleotides) under uncultured bacterium. RNAcentral describes it as "partial 16S ribosomal RNA". It matches the Rfam family "Bacterial small subunit ribosomal RNA", at positions 338 to 696 of the family's 1533-position model. The record is from RNAcentral.
CCUACGGGCGGCAGCAGUAGGGAAUUUUCGUCAAUGGGCGCAAGCCUGAACGAGCAAUGCCGCGUGAACGAGGAAGGUCUUCGGAUCGUAAAGUUCUGUUGAAGGGGAAAAAGAGCGGAGAGAGGAAGUGCUUUCUGAUUGAUAUUACCCUUCGAGGAAGUCACGGCUAACUACGUGCCAGCAGCCGCGGUAAUAGGUCGGUGGCGAGCGUUAUCCGGAAUGAUUGGGCGUAAAGGGUGCGUAGGCGGCCUGCUAAGUCUGGAGUGAAAGGUACCGGCACAAGGGGUACAGGCUCUGGAAACUGGCGGGCUAGAGAGCAGGAGAGGGCGGUGGAAUUCGAGGUGUAGCGGUAAAAUGCGUAGAUA